Molecule: unclassified non-coding RNA, 400 nt
Filed under: soil metagenome
Description: partial contains 5.8S ribosomal RNA, internal transcribed spacer 2, and large subunit ribosomal RNA
Rfam family: 5.8S ribosomal RNA (bases 1-122)
Source: RNAcentral
GAUGAAGAACGUAGCGAAAUGCGAUACUUGGUGUGAAUUGCAGAAUCCCGUGAACCAUCGAGUCUUUGAACGCAAGUUGCGCCUCAAGCCAUUAGGUUGAGGGCACGUCUGCCUGGGCGUCACAUAUCGUUGCCUGAUGCCAGUUUCCUCGUGAUGGGUGACUGUGCAGGGCGAAUGAUGGCUUCCCGUGAGCAUUGUUGCCUCAUGGUUGGUUGAAAAUUGAGCCCUUGGUAGGGAGCGCCGUGAUAGAUGGUGGUUGAGUGACGAACGAGACCCAAUCAUGUGAGACCCCUACCGAAUUUGGCCUUCAUGACCCACAUGCGUCUUUGGAACGCUCAUGACGAGACCUCAGGUCAGGCGGGGCUACCCGCUGAGUUUAAGCAUAUCAAUAAGCGGAGGA